ACGAUAACAAUGACGUCACACGCAGCACGCCGUUGCGCUAAAGUUGGCGAGGUAAUGGAGGAAGUAAGCAUUUUCGCUUUUCUUUCUAAAUGUUUGUGUAAUGGCAGCACCGAGAUGCAGCGUUUUGAAAAUUUUCGGAUGUCGAAGUGAUAGGACUUCCAGCUCUUUUCGGUGAGUCAGGAGAAUCGAGGGACUCGUUCGGGUUCCCAGGUGACUCCUUUUUGUUGUUGUUUUUCAAAAGCUGAAUAAAGUCAUCGGUCUUUGUGUUUUGUUGAGUACAAUUUAAAAAAUUCUGAUUUAUAUGAUGAGCUAAUAUUGUAAUACUUUGCAACAUAUUUAGACCACCGGGUUGUUGUCAAUUCACAUUUUUCACACCAGGACUUUUAUGGAAUCAAUUAAAAACACACCUUUUUUUCUGUGCUUUUAAUUGUUGGUAAUUGUACGUGUUCUUUUAUAUUCAUGUUCUUUCUUUUUUACUUUUCUUUUAUCUCUAUGUACAGCACUUUGUCCAGCUCAGGUGGAUUUUAAAUGUGCUUUAUAAAUAAAAUUGAAUUGAACAAUUAACAAAAAAACAGCUCGGUACUGUCAGGCGGCAAAACACUGGAUAUUACAGAAGUGAGCACAGUAUAAGAAGCUAGAGAUCCAAGAAAAGCAUGGUCAACUACACAACAAACCUAAAAAGACCAAUUAAGAUUAGAAAGCUGUGAAAGAUACAAUACCUGCUGGGUGCAGAACGGAAGAACUGCCGCUUUUUACAUCGCUGAUACGAAAGCACGAGAGAAAGCCUUUAUUUAAAGCGAUCGUCACAUGCUGUACUUAUCCAAUCAUGUCUGGAAGGAUUCAAAAUCACUGUUGUAUGUAUUUAUUCAUCAUUUAUUGUAAAUAUGCCACUUGGUUUUGUACAUGUAUGUUUGCACAAUGACAAUAAAUUUGAAUUGUAUCUAAUCAGA
Molecule: long non-coding RNA, 950 nt
Organism: Tachysurus fulvidraco (yellow catfish)
Lineage: Eukaryota; Metazoa; Chordata; Actinopteri; Siluriformes; Bagridae
Exons: 2
Source: RefSeq, a predicted model, not a curated record